This 1550-nucleotide long non-coding RNA is filed under the name Ananas comosus (pineapple). Its description in RNAcentral is "long non-coding RNA (ACOM_LNC027267)". The record is from RNAcentral. Lineage: Eukaryota; Viridiplantae; Streptophyta; Magnoliopsida; Poales; Bromeliaceae.
CAACCUAUCAACCCGGCUUAUAUUCAAUAAAGUAAAAAUGUACGGAACUUAUCUGAAUUAUGAACUAUUUUAAAUUGACUAUUCAAAAUUUCAAAAUUUUAAUUUUGCUAUUCAACCUUUCAAUUUGUUUGAUAUGAAUAAAUCAAUUGCACUUUGAUUUCAAAAUUUGAAUGCGUCCUUUAUCCUUACAAAUUUAGUUAGUAUAUAUAUAUACUUCAUAUUUCUCACAGCAAUAAUGAUAAUAAAAUUAAAAUUUUGAAAGAUUAUGUAGCUUAUUCAGAACGGACGGUCAAUAAUUCGGAUAAGCUUUGUACAUUUUUAUCAUAAAAGAAAGAAGAAAAAAGAAAAUAAAGAGAGGAAGCAAAUGAUAAAAAAGGCAGAGGAAGAAGGAGAUGAUGGUGAUGAUGAGAUAAAAGGAAGAAGGAAAAAAUAAAAGAAAUAAAGGAAAAUGAAUAAAAUGAAUAAAAAAAAGUCAAAAAAUAAAAGAAACUAAAAAAAAACAGCUGCUAUAAUAAAGACAUAAGAAUAAAAAUAUAAAAAGGAUAAAAAUUAUAAGAAUAAUAAAUUAUAUUUAUAAUAGCAGUAAAAGUUGAAGAUUAAAAUGUCAUAUGUCUCAUAGUUCGAGUCAAAAAUUGCAACUUUAAUAAGCUCAAAGCGUCACAUACCUUAUAAUUUUAGUAAGAAAAUAUAAUCCAUUAAAUUCAAGAACUAAAGUGUCACGUGUUUUAUAGUUUUAGGAUCAAAUGUGUAAUUUGUUCUUUUUAUAUUUUAAUUUUAUUCUAAAUGAAGGUAGAGUUGAGUAUCGAUCGGUUUUGUCACGCGUACGAAUAUGUUAAGCUAUCUAAUAAAUUUUAAUAUUAGAUUUAAAUUAAUGAAUUAUACUUUUACUUUAAAAUUUGAAUAUCUUUUUUAGCUUUACAGAUUUAGUUACUAUGCUCCAUAUAAUCUUCUUAACUAAAUUUAUUAAAAUAAAUAAUUAACUUAAACUUUAUCAAUUUUUUUUAUUUUUCAAUAUAUUAAUCUAUAUGUAAUUGAUUAAUAUUAUCAAACUAAAAUUUAUAUUUAAUAAUGUUAAAUAUUUAUAUAUUUUAAUUUUUUAUAAUAAAAGAGGAAAAAAUUAAAUUGGAUUAAAAAAUAAGUCUAACUUUAUAGUCUAAAUAAAAAAAAAAUACAAUAAAAAAUUUUAAACAAUGGGCCCACUUUUAGUGGACCCCACAUACCCCCAACCCCACCCGUCCCGCUCCCCCUCCUGCUCCCGCCCCACCCGGCACGUGGCCUCCGCCUCUCAAUUCAUGAUAUUUAAUAUUUAAUAUUUAAUAGAUAGAUAAUAACGGACCGUCCUAGAGCAAAUGACAAAGAGCUUAACGGUUUGUAUUCGAGACUCAAUUUCAAAUUCUAGUUGAUUCAUAUUUUUAACUAAAUUUAUUUUUAAAUAAAAUAAACGAAGCGAGUUACGUGCUAUCUAUCUCUCAAAACAGAAAGAAAAAAAAAUAGAUAAUAAAUAAUAAAUAUGUGAGUCCUAUUGAAAUAAAUUAUGAAGAUCGGAGAAU